ACAUUAUUAAAUGUAAUAUAUUCUACUUUCAAACAAUAUUUUUAAGCUAGAAAAAUGGUCUCUUCUAUUACAAUAACUCUAUUUAAAAUUUCCUUUGCAUUUAAAUUUUUUCUUGCUUUUACACUUUUAUAGAGUAAACUUAAUUUUAUUGCUGCUUAUUUUGUUAUUUUUCAUCCAUAAGGUAAUUACGUUUUGGACUUCUGAUUUGCUGAAUGAUAAUACCAGUCCCCUAAAAACACAUUUUUCUACCCAUCCUCCAAAAACCAUAGUGAUCAACACGGAGAUCAAAUAAAAACUACCUAUAAAUCAUGCCUAAAGCAAAACUAGAGAAUACCACAAACUUCAAUUUGCAUGUUAGUGGGGAAAUAAAUAUUCUAAACCAGCAGAGGCAGCUACAGAGGAAGGUGCAGCUAAUUUUCACUGGUGUAGAACACAGACAACCUUACCCCCAGAAACAAGACAGAUCAUAAAUGGUGAAAUACCAAGAACAAAUCUGAGAUCUGGUGGAUCAGAACACUGACAAAUGAAGGAAAAGCAAGGGUCUUGGAAGCACAUGAGACCAAAAAUGGCAGUUGUAGAGGGCAAGGUUUCUGAGGGGAGAGGGAGGUAGUUGUGUUCCUUGGAGGCUUGGUAAUAAAGGAAAAGAAAAAAGCAAACAGUGGAAAUUAAUAUGUUUAUACAAAUGAGACAGUAUUACAGAAUCAGACAUCAUAUAAACCCUCACUCCCAAAAAGGCUUGAUCUAGUAAACUUUAGAAACUGCACUCACUGUGCCAACAGAAGAGGGUAGUAUUGAGCUAAGGAACCUAGUGAGUAAGCCCUGCCUCCAGCUACCCUAAAGUAGAAACAUCUGAAGACCAGAGCAAUUCAAGGAAUUUGAAAGUGAAUACAGACAAAUGGCAAAUUAUAUUCACAUAAAAUUACUUUAAGAAGAAAAUAGAAAGACACUAUCAUCUAAACUGUUCAGGCGAUGAAAAAAAAAAUACUCCCAAAAGACAGCCAUGGGCCGGGCAUGGUGGCUCACACGUGUAAUCCCAACACUUUGGGAGGCCAAGGAAGUUGGAUCACCUGAGGUCAGGAGUUCAAGACCAGCCUGGCCAACAUGGUGAAACCCCAUCUCUACUAAAAAUACAAAAAUUAGCCGGGCAUGGUAGCACUGCCUGUAAUCCCAGCUACUCAGGAGGUUGAGGCAGGAGAAUUACUUGAACCCAGUAGGUGGAGGUUGCAGUGAGCCGAGAUCAUGCCAUUGCACUCCAGCCUGGGUGACAAGAGCGAAACUCCAUCUCAAAAAAAAAAAAACAAAAAACAAAAAAAAAAACACAGCCGUGAAACACAGGACAAAUAUUUGACACAACACCCCUGAAAAAAAUUAAAUAUCAAUUUUUAAAGGAUUUGCAAAAAUGGGGGGAAAAACUUUAUUUUGAAUCAGAAAUGUAAUAAUUCAGAAUAGUCCAAGAUAUCUAGAUGUGAGAGUUGAACUCAGGCAAGAAAACACUAAAUCAUCUAAAAAGUGAAGAGUGAACUACAAGGUGACCAAAGGAAAACAGAUUUGACUGAAAAUAAAAUAAGGGACUAGACACGGUGGCUCACACCUGUAAUCCCAGCACUUUGGGAAGCCAAGGCAGGAGAAUUGCUUGAGCCCAGGAGUUUGAGACCAGCCUGGGCAACAUGGUGAAACCCUGUCUCUACAAAACAUACAAAAAUUAGGUGUGGUGGUGGCACGCCUAUAGCCCCAGCUACUCGGAAGGCUGCAGUGAGAGGACUGCUUUAGCUCAGGAGGUCGAGGCUGCAGUGAGCCAUGAGCAUGCUACUGCACUCCAGCCUGGGCAACAGAGUGAGACUCUGUCUCAAAAAAUAAAAGAGAGGAAUAGAAACAAUCAAGAAAGUGAACACACAGAAGUUAAAGAGAGAAAAAAGUGAAAAUGCUAAUAUCAUGACUUUAUGUUUUAAGCAUAUCUUAAGGUAUAAGUUUCAUAAGCAACUAAUAUAUGGAGAAGUGACAUAUAAUUUAAAAAUUGCCCCAGAUGAUCAGUUGGCCUUUAAAAAAUUCUCUCGAAAUAUUUGCUUUAUAAGUAUAGUGAAAAUCUAAGCAAGUUAAGAAGCACUACUAUAUUCUCCUAGACAGUGACACAGAAAGUGACACACCACAUGGUUUUUUUGUUUUGUUUAGUUUUAGUUUUUGUUUUUUUGAGAUGGAGUUUCGCUUUUGUUGCUCAGGCUGGAGUGCAAUGGUGUAAUCUUGGCUCACUGCAACCUUCGUCUCCUGGGUUUAAGCUAUCCUCCUGCCUCAGCCUCCCGA
RNAcentral lists this long non-coding RNA (2298 nucleotides) under Homo sapiens (human). Its description in RNAcentral is "HSALNT0212152". The record is from RNAcentral. Lineage: Eukaryota; Metazoa; Chordata; Mammalia; Primates; Hominidae.